CUGGCGGUUCUAUAAUGCAAGUCGAGCGAAUGGAUUAAGAGCUUGCUCUUAUGAAGUUAGCGGCGGACGGGAGAACAGUGGGUAACCUGCCCAUAAGACUGGGAUAACUCCGGAAACCAGGGCUAAUACCGGAUAACAUUUUGAACCGCAUGGUUCGAAAUUGAAAGGCGGCUUGAGAUGUCACUUAUGGAUGGACCCGCGUCGCAUUAGCUAGUUGGUGAGGUAACGGCUCACCAAGGCAACGAUGCGUAGCCGACCUGAGAGGGUGAUCGGCCACACUGGGACUGAGACACGGCCCAGACUCCUACGGGAGGCAGCAGUAGGGAAUCUUCCGCAAUGGACGAAAGUCUGACGGAGCAACGCCGCGUGAGUGAUGAAGGCUUUCGGGUCGUAAAACUCUGUUGUUAGGGAAGAACAAGUGCUAGUUGAAUAAGCUGGCACCUUGACGGUACCUAACCAGAAAGCCACGGCUAACUACGUGCCAGCAGCCGCGGUAAUACGUAGGUGGCAAGCGUUAUCCGGAAUUAUUGGGCGUAAAGCGCGCGCAGGUGGUUUCUUAAGUCUGAUGUGAAAGCCCACGGCUCAACCGUGGAGGGUCAUUGGAAACUGGGAGACUUGAGUGCAGAAGAGGAAAGUGGAAUUCCAUGUGUAGCGGUGAAAUGCGUAGAGAUAUGGAGGAACACCAGUGGCGAAGGCGACUUUCUGGUCUGUAACUGACACUGAGGCGCGAAA
RNAcentral lists this ribosomal RNA (732 nucleotides) under Bacillus cereus. Its description in RNAcentral is "bacterial SSU rRNA". It matches the Rfam family "Bacterial small subunit ribosomal RNA", at positions 36 to 758 of the family's 1533-position model. Lineage: Bacteria; Bacillati; Bacillota; Bacilli; Caryophanales; Bacillaceae. The record is from RNAcentral.